UCGAGCGAACAGACGAGGAGCUUGCUCCUCUGACGUUAGCGGCGGACGGGUGAGUAACACGUGGAUAACCUACCUAUAAGACUGGGAUAACUUCGGGAAACCGGAGCUAAUACCGGAUAAUAUAUUGAACCGCAUGGUUCAAUAGUGAAAGACGGUUUUGCUGUCACUUAUAGAUGGAUCCGCGCCGCAUUAGCUAGUUGGUAAGGUAACGGCUUACCAAGGCAACGAUGCGUAGCCGACCUGAGAGGGUGAUCGGCCACACUGGAACUGAGACACGGUCCAGACUCCUACGGGAGGCAGCAGUAGGGAGUCUUCCGCAAUGGGCGAAAGCCUGACGGAGCAACGCCGCGUGAGUGGUUAAGGUCUUCGGAUCGUAAAACUCUGUUAUUAGGGAAGAACAAAUGUGUAAGUAACUAUGCACGUCUUGACGGUACCUAAUCAGAAAGCCACGGCUAACUACGUGCCAGCAGCCGCGGUAAUACGUAGGUGGCAAGCGUUAUCCGGAAUUAUUGGGCGUAAAGCGCGCGUAGGCGGUUUUUUAAGUCUGAUGUGAAAGCCCACGGCUCAACCGUGGAGGGUCAUUGGAAACUGGAAAACUUGAGUGCAGAAGAGGAAAGUGGAAUUCCAUGUGUAGCGGUGAAAUGCGCAGAGAUAUGGAGGAACACCAGUGGCGAAGGCGACUUUCUGGUCUGUAACUGACGCUGAUGUGCGAAAGCGUGGGGAUCAAACAGGAUUAGAUACCCUGGUAGUCCACGCCGUAAACGAUGAGUGCUAAGUGUUAGGGGGUUUCCGCCCCUUAGUGCUGCAGCUAACGCAUUAAGCACUCCGCCUGGGGAGUACGACCGCAAGGUUGAAACUCAAAGGAAUUGACGGGGGACCCGCACAAGCGGUGGAAGCAUGUGGUUUAAUUC
This 911-nucleotide ribosomal RNA is filed under the name uncultured bacterium. Its description in RNAcentral is "bacterial SSU rRNA". It matches the Rfam family "Bacterial small subunit ribosomal RNA", at positions 62 to 952 of the family's 1533-position model. The record is from RNAcentral.